AACGAACGCUGGCGGCAUGCCUAACACAUGCAAGUCGAACGAGACCUUCGGGACUGGGGGCGCACGGGUGCGUAACGCGUGGGAACCUGCCCUUAGGUUCGGAAUGACUCCCUGCCAGGGGUGCUAAUACCGGUUAAUGUCUUGGGACCAAAGAUUUAUCGCCUUUGGAUGGGCCCGCGUUGGUUUAGCGAGUUGGCAGGGUAAAAGCCUACAAAGGCGCCGACGCAUAGCUGGUCUGAGAGGACGGUCAGACACACUGGGACUGAGACACGUAACAGACCCCUACGGGUGGAAGCAGUGGGGAAUAUUGGACGAUGCGCGAAAGCAUGAUCCAUCCAUGCCGCGUGAGUGAUGAAGGCCUUAGGGUUGUAAAGCUGUGUUAACCGGGAUGAUAAUGACAGUACCGGGAGAAUAAGCGCCGGCUAACUCCGUG
RNAcentral lists this ribosomal RNA (433 nucleotides) under uncultured bacterium. RNAcentral describes it as "partial 16S ribosomal RNA". It matches the Rfam family "Bacterial small subunit ribosomal RNA", at positions 29 to 507 of the family's 1533-position model. The record is from RNAcentral.